CCCUUAGAUGUUCUGGGCCGCACGCGCGCUACACUGACGAUGGCAACGAGUUUUUCCUUCGCCGAAAGGUGUGGGUAAUCUUUUGAAACAUCGUCGUGCUGGGGAUAGAUCAUUGCAAUUUUUGAUCUUGAACGAGGAAUUCCUAGUAAGCGCGAGUCAUCAGCUCGCGUUGAUUACGUCCCUGCCCUUUGUACACACCGCCCAUCGCUACUACCGAUUGAAUGGUUUAGUGAGGACUCCUGAUUGGCGCCGCCGCCCCGGCAACGGAGCAGCGGACUGCCGAAAAGUUGUUCAAACUUGAUCAUUUAGAGGAAGUAAAAGUCGUAACA
This 329-nucleotide ribosomal RNA is filed under the name uncultured eukaryote. RNAcentral's name for it is "partial 18S ribosomal RNA". It matches the Rfam family "Eukaryotic small subunit ribosomal RNA", at positions 1470 to 1796 of the family's 1831-position model. The record is from RNAcentral.